GUGAGGCGAGGGGCCGGGGCUGCGGCCGGGCGGCGACGCUCGGGGCCGGCGGUUUCCCAGGCGAUGGGUGGGGAGAGGAGGAGGAGGAGGAGGAAGAGGAGGAGGAGGGGUCCUCGCGGCUUUAUCUCCCACCCGGCUCCGCCCGCCGUCGGCUGUCUCCCGUGACCGCAAGCGCACCGGCGGGCGCAGCGCGGGCAGGGCAGCGCCCAUGGGCUGCGGCAACUCCACGGCCGGCAGCGCGGGCGGGCGAGGUUGAUCCGUUUGCUCAGGGCGAGAGGGUGAUGUGGCCUGCCGCAGCACCGGCGGCUUUCUGGUGCCUGCUUGUCGCUAGAGUCACCACCUCCGACAGAAGCUGCCCAAGGCACGGCGAACCCAGGCCGGGAGCUGGACGUAACAAUCCCGCCAGGGGUGUCAGCUCCAUCCUCUUCGCUUCCCUAUAAGGCCACGAAUGCCACUUCUGAAAUGAAUUUGUGCGACAUCUUCGUCUUUUGCUUGUUGGAGAAGUUGGAGGAUAUUCCAUGAUUGAGGUUUCAUGCAUGUUAAUAUGUACUGCUGGCUGGUGAGUCCAGCUGGCUCCCUUAUUUGUUCAUUGCUAUUUUCAAAAGAGAUAAGAUUUGGGAAGAUGGUGCUGUUGUGCUCUUCCUCCCCCCUGCCCCCACAGAAUAGGAAAGUACAUGGAAACUGGUAAGUGGACCUUCACCCUGUAAUUAUAAUAUGGGCAUUUCCCAAUCGUUUUUCAUCCUAGCUGCACUUGGCAAACAUUGCCACCUGUUCCAGUACCUUUAUCAAGUCUUUC
This 796-nucleotide long non-coding RNA is filed under the name Junco hyemalis (dark-eyed junco). RNAcentral's name for it is "lncRNA (ENSJHYG00000007894.1)". Lineage: Eukaryota; Metazoa; Chordata; Aves; Passeriformes; Passerellidae. The record is from RNAcentral.